UGGGGAGGCCACAGGGGUGUGGACGGGUGAGGCUUGGCCCUGGGAGAUCCCUCAGCCCUGCUGGCAAGUGGAGAAGUAGUGGGGUCCCAGGCAGGUCAUCACUGACCCUGCAUCCUCAUGGGGUGUGCGUGUCUGGCAGCCCCAAGGCCCCGGGGGUCCUGGGUGGUCCCUGACUGAAGCUGAUGCCAGGCUGGGUCUUCCCUGCUCCCAAGAGCGACCCUGAGGUGAGCAGGACCCCCUCCC
This 243-nucleotide long non-coding RNA is filed under the name Homo sapiens (human). RNAcentral's name for it is "HSALNT0083126". Lineage: Eukaryota; Metazoa; Chordata; Mammalia; Primates; Hominidae. The record is from RNAcentral.